GACGAACGCUGGCGGCGUGCUUAACACAUGCAAGUCGAACGGAAAGGCCCUGCUUUUGUGGGGUGCUCGAGUGGCGAACGGGUGAGUAACACGUGAGUAACCUGCCCUUGACUUUGGGAUAACUUCAGGAAACUGGGGCUAAUACCGGAUAGGAGCUCCUGCUGCAUGGUGGGGGUUGGAAAGUUUCGGCGGUUGGGGAUGGACUCGCGGCUUACCAGCUUGUUGGUGGGGUAGUGGCUUACCAAGGCUUUGACGGGUCGCCGGCCUGAGAGGGUGACCGGCCACAUUGGGACUGAGAUACGGCCCAGUGUCCUACGGGAGGCAGCAGUGGGGAGUAUUGCACAGUGGGCGGAAGCCUGAUGCAGCAGCGCCGCGUGCGGGAUGACGGCCUUCGGGUUGUAAACCGCUUUCGCCUGUGACGAAGCGUGAGUGACGGUAAUGGGUAAAGAAGCACCGGCUAACUACGUG
RNAcentral lists this ribosomal RNA (468 nucleotides) under uncultured bacterium. RNAcentral describes it as "partial 16S ribosomal RNA". It matches the Rfam family "Bacterial small subunit ribosomal RNA", at positions 28 to 507 of the family's 1533-position model. The record is from RNAcentral.